GACGAACGCUGGCGGCGUGCUUAACACAUGCAAGUCGAACGGAAAGGCCCUGCUUUUGUGGGGUGCUCGAGUGGCGAACGGGUGAGUAACACGUGAGUAACCUGCCCUUGACUUUGGGAUAACUUCAGGAAACUGGGGCUAAUACCGGAUAGGAGUUCCUCCUCCAUGGUGGGGGUUGGAAAGUUUCGGCGGUUGUGGUUGGACUGGAGGUUUAUCAGCUUGUUGGUGGGGUAGUGGCUUACCAAGGCUUUGACGGGUAGCCGGCCUGAGAGGGUGACCGGCCACAAUGGGACUGAGGAACGGCAAAGACUACUACGGGAGGCAGCAGUGGGGAAUAUUGCACAAUAGGAGGAAGCCUGAUGCAGCAACGCUGCGUGCGGGAUGAAGGCCUUCGGGGGGUAAACCGCUUUCGCCUGUGACGAAGCGUGAGUGACGGUAAUGGGUAAAGAAGCACCGGCUAACUACGUG
RNAcentral lists this ribosomal RNA (468 nucleotides) under uncultured bacterium. RNAcentral's name for it is "partial 16S ribosomal RNA". It matches the Rfam family "Bacterial small subunit ribosomal RNA", at positions 28 to 507 of the family's 1533-position model. The record is from RNAcentral.